RNAcentral lists this ribosomal RNA (408 nucleotides) under uncultured bacterium. Its description in RNAcentral is "partial 16S ribosomal RNA". It matches the Rfam family "Bacterial small subunit ribosomal RNA", at positions 28 to 526 of the family's 1533-position model. The record is from RNAcentral.
GACGAACGCUGGCGGCGUGCUUAACACAUGCAAGUCGAACGAAGUGGCGAACGGGUGAGUAACGCGUAAUCAACCUGCCCUUCAGAGGGGGACAACAGUUGGAAACGACUGCUAAUACCGCAUCCUGCAGGAGGGGAUUGCGUCUGCUUAGCUAGUGGGAGGGGUAACGGCCCACCAAGGCGAUGAUCAGUAGCCGGUCUUAGAGGGUGAACUGCCACAUUGGGACUUGGACACGGCCCAGACUCCUACGGGAAGCAGCCGUGGGGAAUCUUCCGAAAUGGACGAAAGUCUUACGGAGCAACGCCGCGUGAGUGAUGACGGGCUUCGGGUUGGAAAGCUCUGUUAAUCGGGACGCGGUACCGGAAUAGAAAGCCACGGCUAACUACGUGCCAGCAGCCGCGGUAAUAC